RNAcentral lists this transfer RNA (66 nucleotides) under Dipodomys ordii (Ord's kangaroo rat). It matches the Rfam family "tRNA". From Rfam's summary of the family: Transfer RNA (tRNA) molecules are approximately 80 nucleotides in length. Their secondary structure includes four short double-helical elements and three loops (D, anti-codon, and T loops). Further hydrogen bonds mediate the characteristic L-shaped molecular structure. tRNAs have two regions of fundamental functional importance: the anti-codon, which is responsible for specific mRNA codon recognition, and the 3' end, to which the tRNAs corresponding amino acid is attached (by aminoacyl-tRNA synthetases). tRNAs cope with the degeneracy of the genetic code in two manners: having more than one tRNA (with a specific anti-codon) for a particular amino acid; and 'wobble' base-pairing, i.e. permitting non-standard base-pairing at the 3rd anti-codon position. The record is from Rfam by way of RNAcentral. Lineage: Eukaryota; Metazoa; Chordata; Mammalia; Rodentia; Heteromyidae.
GGUGGCUCAGUGGUAGAGUGCUUGCCUUACACGCAGUAAGGCCCUGGGUUCGAUUCCUCAGCACCA